Molecule: long non-coding RNA, 402 nt
Filed under: Neogale vison (American mink)
Lineage: Eukaryota; Metazoa; Chordata; Mammalia; Carnivora; Mustelidae
Description: Neovison vison (American mink) lncRNA (ENSNVIG00000015388.1)
Source: RNAcentral
GAAAAGGCCACUCUUGUACAUUUGAACAUUAUAGUUUAGGGGAAGAGAAAGAAUAGAAGUAAGCAAAGAACUGAAUACGUAAUUACAAAUUGUGAAAAAGGCUGCAUGGGAAGAACAGGCUUAGACAAUAAGGGGAGACUAGCUUUAUAUUGGCUCUAGGGCCCACAGUAAAGGUGAAUGACAUCAAAGAGACCAAAAAGUAACAGGAAGAAUUAUCCAGAGCCCUGCCUGCCGUGGACCAGAGAAGCAAGAAGAGGAGCAUCCUGGGCGUACUUACUCAAGAGUCUUACAAAAUGGCAGCCACACGUCUGUCUGCUGUGGUCGACCCUGCUGGUGCCCAUGAGAGGAUCACAGAGGUGAAAAACAUCUACUCUGCAUUACAGGUGAAUUUUUUCCUAAAAU